This 263-nucleotide long non-coding RNA is filed under the name Manihot esculenta (cassava). Its description in RNAcentral is "long non-coding RNA (MESC_LNC002990)". Lineage: Eukaryota; Viridiplantae; Streptophyta; Magnoliopsida; Malpighiales; Euphorbiaceae. The record is from RNAcentral.
AUCCCUUCUCCGUCGGCUGCUUUACUGGCGGCGAAAUUUCUGUUUGAUUAUUUUCAGCAGCGUACCACAGGAGACAAAUAUAAACAAGAAAAACAGCGCUCAUUCCGACGCAAGGGAGAAAAAGAGCCAAAAAGACAGAGAGGAGCAUGUUUUGGUUGGAGGAUGGAGAGAGGUUGUUCACGGGGGCUGGCGGCCGAGAGGGAGAGGGAGAGGGGAUGAGCGGCGCGUAGUGCACACCAUCGCGCAUUAUAGGGGAGGAGGAG